Long non-coding RNA from Oncorhynchus masou masou (cherry salmon), 728 nucleotides. RefSeq lists it as uncharacterized. NCBI's taxonomy places the organism in Eukaryota, Metazoa, Chordata, Actinopteri, Salmoniformes, Salmonidae. The record is from RefSeq and is a predicted model, not a curated record. The transcript is spliced from 3 exons.
ACACAAACUGGAUUUUGAACUCAACCAAAGAGUUUGACUAUGCAGUCACAUAGCAGAUCACUUGACGGCAAUUUUCAAUCACAUCUGAAUGACAGUCCAUUGCACGGGCGAACGAGGCUGCAUAAAAAUGGCAUCUCUCUGGAGAAGCGCUUCUCCGAGGCUGUGGAAACAAAUAAUGGCCUUAAUCGUCUUGCUCUUGCGCAACAGGCUUGUUACCAAUGCGGACGAAGACCAUUUCAACGCAGAGCUCUCACGCCAUCUAUCUAUCUCUGUUGUAUAAUUGUAGUCGUGGUGGCGGAGGUUUGGCUACCUGUCUCAAGCCAGCAGACAGAUGUCAACCAUGCAGUAUGGAUACCACUGGCAGCCUCCCAUUUCUCUCCCUCCAGGUAUUGACCUCUUCCUGGUUGCGGUGCAUGAGCUAGGCCAUGCUCUGGUUCUGGGGCACUCUGAUGGCUCCCCUUUACCAGUACAUGGACACAAAGAUCUUCUCACUCCCAGAGGAUGAUAGGAAUGGAAUACAGAAGAUAUAUGAUACUGGCGUUUUGAUGAAGAGUUUCGCACCGGUGACAGCGACUACCCGAAACCUGUCUCCAGGUGGGGCAAGGUCCCAUCCUCUGCUACCACCGAAAUAUACUCCUGGGCUACAAUAUCCGGACCCCUUCAACAGCCGGUAUGGGGCAUGGAACCCCGCAGAUCCCCUACGACUGGAAUACCGACAUAAUCUACCC